RNAcentral lists this ribosomal RNA (472 nucleotides) under uncultured organism. Its description in RNAcentral is "partial 16S ribosomal RNA". It matches the Rfam family "Bacterial small subunit ribosomal RNA", at positions 333 to 797 of the family's 1533-position model. The record is from RNAcentral.
ACACUCCUGCGGGAGGCAGCAGUGGGGAAUUUUGGACAAUGGGCGAAAGCCUGAUCCAGCCAUGCCGCGUGCAGGAUGAAGGCCUUCGGGUUGUAAACUGCUUUUGUACGGAACGAAACGGCCUUUUCUAAUAAAGAGGGCUAAUGACGGUACCGUAAGAAUAAGCACCGGCUAACUACGUGCCAGCAGCCGCGGUAAUACGUAGGGUGCAAGCGUUAAUCGGAAUUACUGGGCGUAAAGCGUGCGCAGGCGGUUAUGUAAGACAGUUGUGAAAUCCCCGGGCUCAACCUGGGAACUGCAUCUGUGACUGCAUAGCUAGAGUACGGUAGAGGGGGAUGGAAUUCCGCGUGUAGCAGUGAAAUGCGUAGAUAUGCGGAGGAACACCGAUGGCGAAGGCAAUCCCCUGGACCUGUACUGACGCUCAUGCACGAAAGCGUGGGGAGCAAACAGGAUUAGAUACCCGAGUAGUCCC